Molecule: ribosomal RNA, 909 nt
Filed under: uncultured bacterium
Lineage: Bacteria
Description: bacterial SSU rRNA
Rfam family: Bacterial small subunit ribosomal RNA
Source: RNAcentral
AGCGGGCAUGCUUUAACAUGCAGUCGAACGGUACAGGUCUUCGGACGCUGACGAGUGGCGAACGGGUGAGUAAUACAUCGGAACGUGCCCAGUCGUGGGGGAUAACUACUCGAAAGAGUAGCUAAUACCGCAUACGAUCUGAGGAUGAAAGCGGGGGACCUUCGGGCCUCGCGCGAUUGGAGCGGCCGAUGGCAGAUUAGGUAGUUGGUGGGAUAAAAGCUUACCAAGCCGACGAUCUGUAGCUGGUCUGAGAGGACGACCAGCCACACUGGGACUGAGACACGGCCCAGACUCCUACGGGAGGCAGCAGUGGGGAAUUUUGGACAAUGGGCGAAAGCCUGAUCCAGCAAUGCCGCGUGCAGGAUGAAGGCCUUCGGGUUGUAAACUGCUUUUGUACGGAACGAAAAAGCUUCUCCUAAUACGAGAGGCCCAUGACGGUACCGUAAGAAUAAGCACCGGCUAACUACGUGCCAGCAGCCGCGGUAAUACGUAGGGUGCGAGCGUUAAUCGGAAUUACUGGGCGUAAAGCGUGCGCAGGCGGUUAUGUAAGACAGAUGUGAAAUCCCCGGGCUCAACCUGGGAACUGCAUUUGUGACUGCAUGGCUAGAGUACGGUAGAGGGGGAUGGAAUUCCGCGUGUAGCAGUGAAAUGCGUAGAUAUGCGGAGGAACACCGAUGGCGAAGGCAAUCCCCUGGACCUGUACUGACGCUCAUGCACGAAAGCGUGGGGAGCAAACAGGAUUAGAUACCCUGAUAGUCCACGCCCUAAACGAUGUCAACUGGUUGUUGGGAAUUAGUUUUCUCAGUAACGAAGCUAACGCGUGAAGUUGACCGCCUGGGGAGUACGCGCAAGUGAAACUCAAAGGAUUGACGGGACCCGCACAGCGGUGGAUGAUGUGGUUUAAUUCGG